Molecule: unclassified non-coding RNA, 345 nt
Filed under: soil metagenome
Description: partial contains 5.8S ribosomal RNA, internal transcribed spacer 2, and large subunit ribosomal RNA
Rfam family: 5.8S ribosomal RNA (bases 1-120)
Source: RNAcentral
GAUGAAGAACGUAGCGAAAUGCGAUACGUAAUGUGAAUUGCAGAAUUCAGUGAAUCAUCGAGUCUUUGAACGCACAUUGCGCCCCCUGGUAUUCCGGAGGGCAUGCCUGUCCGAGCGUCAUUGCUGCCCUCAAGCACGGCUUGUGUGUUGGGCCCCGCCCCCCGAUCCCGGGGGGCGGGCCCGAAAGGCAGCGGCGGCACCGCGUCCGGUCCUCGAGCGUAUGGGGCUUUGUCACCCGCUCUGUAGGCCCGGCCGGCGCCUGCCGAUCAACCAAACUUUUUUCCAGGUUGACCUCGGAUCAGGUAGGGAUACCCGCUGAACUUAAGCAUAUCAAUAAGCGGAGGA